RNAcentral lists this ribosomal RNA (298 nucleotides) under Fibrobacter succinogenes. RNAcentral's name for it is "partial 16S ribosomal RNA". Lineage: Bacteria; Pseudomonadati; Fibrobacterota; Fibrobacteria; Fibrobacterales; Fibrobacteraceae. The record is from RNAcentral.
GGAGUCUGGUCCGUGUCUCAGUACCAGUGUGGGGACCUUCCUCUCAGAACCCCUACGCAUCGUCGCCUUGGUGGGCCGUUGCCCGCCAACUAGCUAAUCGGACGCAAGCUCAUCCCAUACCGAUAAAUCUCUAGUCAACCAGCCAUGCAGCUGGCCACUCUCCUGGACAUUAACCGCGCGUUGGCACGGGUAUUUCCUGAUAUGGGGCCAGAUUGCUUACGCGUUACUCACCCGUUCGCCGCUCGGCAUUGCUGCCUCGCUCGACUUGCAUGUAUAAGACACGCCACCAGCGUUCGUU